UCCGAGUGGUGUGGAUGUUUAUUGGGCCUAAGCAUCCGUAGCUGGCUAGGUCAGUCCCUUGUUAAAUCCACCGAAUUAAUCGUUGGAUUGCGGGGGAUACUGCUUGGCUAGGGGACGAGAGAGGCAGACGGUAUUUUCGGGGUAGGGGUGAAAUCCUAUAAUCCCGGGAAGACCACCAGUGGCGAAGGCUGUCUGCUAGAACGCGCCCAACGGUGAGGGAUGAAAGCUGGGGGAGCGAACCGGAUUAGAGACCCGGGUAGUCCCAGCUGUAAACGAUGCAGACUAGGUGUUUGGACGGCCACGUGCCGUUCUAGUGCCGCAGGGAAGCUGUUAAGUCUGCCGCCUGGGGAGUACGAUCGCAAGAUUGAAACUUAAAGGAAUUGGCGGGGGAGCACCACAAGGGGUGAAGCUUGCGGUUUAAUCGGAGUCAACGCCGGAAAUCUCACCGGGAGCGACAGCAGUAUGAAGGCCAGAUUAAGGGUCUUGCCAGACGAGCUGAGA
Molecule: ribosomal RNA, 501 nt
Filed under: uncultured crenarchaeote
Lineage: Archaea; Thermoproteati; Thermoproteota
Description: bacterial SSU rRNA
Rfam family: Archaeal small subunit ribosomal RNA
Source: RNAcentral